GAGAAAAAGAGGAGGGAGGAGGGAAGAGAGAGCCAGAACCAGGGAGAGAGAGAGAUAGUCUCGAGAAGGGAGAGAAAAAGAGGGGAGGAAGAGAGGAAGAGAGCUCUUUUUAGAGAGAGGAAAAUAGAGCUGAUAGCCACAAGGAAUCCAUAAUAACCUGCAACUUGAGCUGUGAAGGGGCUGCCUUGUUUUUCUAAUCUUCCAGAAGCUCUUGGAAAUCUUUCAAGUGGAGCAUGGUGAAAAUAAGCCGGAUAUUUCCCCACGACAUGGUCCAGAAGUUGGAAAAGACCCGAGGUCCCCCUCACCGUGUUGUACCCCUAGGCUCAAACAAAGGUUAUGUGUCAGACUUCAAGAUCCAGGAGGACAUCACUGAAAGACCAGACUUGGUCCAGGGGAAGAAGAAGGGCCUGUUCCAACAAAUGAAAGCAUUUUUAUGCAGAGGUCACCGUGUUGAACCCUUGAAGAUUAAAACCAUAAAAGUGGAGGAAGUCAUUCCUGUAAAUAAGCCAAAGGAGGAAGGGGAACCGUCAUGGGUAAAAAAUCUAAGUUUUGCGGUUCCUCCUCUGACUCUGGCAGUACCUCGCUUAAUGCUACAACCUUGUCCACCUGUGUAUCUCCAUGACAUACGGGAAGGCGCCAGAGUCUUUUCCAGCAGUGCUCCCACCAGGAUUCUCCAUCCUGCCUUGGGCAGAGAAAACAAGGAUUUGUAUCAGAACAUCCCCAAACUCUACAUGCAAAGCCCCCAAGAUGGAGGGUAUGGAGACAAAGGACCCUACUGGGGAUUCGUAAAAGGGUUGGCUUGUGGAGGAUUUUCCGAGGAAGUAAUUGAGUAGCUCAAUGAAAAUCAAAGGUGUAAUAAUAACCAUUACUAGGAUAAAAGGCCAGGAGUCUAAAGAACCUUGAGAGAGAGAGUGAGAAAGAGAGCUCUGGUGGCCUCAAAGAACCCACCAUAACCUAGAAGUUGACCAGCUAAGGGGCUGCCUAGUUUUUCUCAUCUUCAAGAAGCUGUUAGUGGAAAUCUUUCAAGUGCAGCAUGAUGAAAACAACCAGGAUAUUUCCCCACGUUCUUCCAACAGUGAGAUGAUUGAAGCCAGUUUCAAUGAUCUUGUGACGAAGAGAGCCAUCUACACGCAAAAAGAAGACUGUGGGAGCUGAGUGUGAUUCACAAUAUAAUAUUUUUACUCUUGUUUUUUUCUUGUAUUUUAUUUUUUCCCUUAUUCUCGAUUUUUCUUGGGCAAGAUAAUUAUAUAAAUAUGUUAUGUAUAAGGGUUGAAGGAGGAGGAGUCAGGCACAAUGCAACAGGAAGUAAACAAGCAAUAAAGUUUGAGUGGGUCUGCUGUGAACUAGUAGGGACCGCCUCAUGGGCAGAAACUCUGGUUGCUUUGAAAUCCACAUCAUUUAUAGGAGGUAUCUUCUUCUCUAAUUGGUUGUGCGUAUGACCUCAUAGAUCUGUGGGAGGAGGAAGCAGGUUCUCUUUAACCUGGAGUUCCCUAGAAGUCAGCUGGAGGUCAGCUAGGCAGGAUGCGAACAUGUGAAUAAAAGAUCUUGAACUUUGCA
Antechinus flavipes (yellow-footed antechinus) is the source of this 1557-nucleotide RNA transcript. RefSeq lists it as uncharacterized. The transcript is spliced from 6 exons. The record is from RefSeq and is a predicted model, not a curated record. NCBI's taxonomy places the organism in Eukaryota, Metazoa, Chordata, Mammalia, Dasyuromorphia, Dasyuridae.